UACAGAGGUCCCGAGCGUUGUUCGGAAUUACUGGGCGUAAAGGGCGCGUAGGCGGCCUGCUAAGUCGAACGUGAAAUCCCCGAGCCCAACUCGGGAACUGCGUCCGAUACUGGCAGGCUUGAAUCCGGGAGAGGGAUGCGGAAUUCCAGGUGUAGCGGUGAAAUGCGUAGAUAUCUGGAGGAACACCGGUGGCGAAGGCGGCAUCCUGGACCGGCAUUGACGCUGAGGCGCGAAAGCCAGGGGAGCAAACGGG
RNAcentral lists this ribosomal RNA (253 nucleotides) under uncultured bacterium. RNAcentral's name for it is "partial 16S ribosomal RNA". It matches the Rfam family "Bacterial small subunit ribosomal RNA", at positions 524 to 776 of the family's 1533-position model. The record is from RNAcentral.